AGUGAACGCUGGCGGCAGGCCUAACACAUGCAAGUCGAGCGGCAGCGCGGGGGCAACCCUGGCGGCGAGCGGCGGACGGGUGAGGAAUUCGUCGGAAUCUGCCUUUUUGUGGGGGAUAACGUAGGAAAACUUACGCUAAUACCGCAUACGUCCUACGGGAGAAAGUGGGGGACCGCAAGGCCUCACGCAGAAAGAUGAGCCGACGACCGAUUAGCUAGUUGGUGGGGUAAAGGCCCACCAAGGCGACGAUCGGUAGCUGGUCUGAGAGGAUGAUCAGCCACACUGGGACUGAGACACGGCCCAGACUCCUACGGGAGGCAGCAGUGGGGAAUAUUUGACAAUGGGCGCAAGCCUGAUCCAGCCAUGCCGCGUGUGUGAAGAAGGCCUUCGGGCUGUAAAGCACUUUUGUCCGGAAAGAAAUCCCUGGAGCUAAUACCUUCGGGGGAUGACGGUACCGGAAGAAUAAGCACCGGCUAACUUCGUG
RNAcentral lists this ribosomal RNA (484 nucleotides) under uncultured bacterium. RNAcentral's name for it is "partial 16S ribosomal RNA". It matches the Rfam family "Bacterial small subunit ribosomal RNA", at positions 29 to 507 of the family's 1533-position model. The record is from RNAcentral.